RNAcentral lists this ribosomal RNA (542 nucleotides) under uncultured archaeon. RNAcentral's name for it is "bacterial SSU rRNA". It matches the Rfam family "Archaeal small subunit ribosomal RNA", at positions 457 to 997 of the family's 1478-position model. The record is from RNAcentral.
GGCAGCAGCCGCGGUAACACCGGCGGCCCGAGUGGUGAUCGUGAUUAUUGGGUCUAAAGGGUCCGUAGCCGGUUUGGUCAGUCCUCCGGGAAAUCUGAUAGCUCAACUAUUAGGCUUUCGGGGGAUACUGCCAGACUUGGAACCGGGAGAGGUAAGAGGUACUACAGGGGUAGGAGUGAAAUCUUGUAAUCCCUGUGGGACCACCUGUGGCGAAGGCGUCUUACCAGAACGGGUUCGACGGUGAGGGACGAAAGCUGGGGGCACGAACCGGAUUAGAUACCCGGGUAGUCCCAGCCGUAAACGAUGCUCGCUAGGUGUCAGGCAUGGCGCGACCGUGUCUGGUGCCGCAGGGAAGCCGUGAAGCGAGCCACCUGGGAAGUACGGCCGCAAGGCUGAAACUUAAAGGAAUUGGCGGGGGAGCACAACAACGGGUGGAGCCCUGCGGUUUAAUUGGACUCAACGCCGGACAACUCACCGGGGGCGACAGCAAUAUGUAGGCCAAGCUGAAGACUUUGCCUGAAUCGCUGAGGAGUGGUGCAUGG